RNAcentral lists this unclassified non-coding RNA (157 nucleotides) under uncultured Stachybotrys. RNAcentral's name for it is "sequence contains ITS1". Lineage: Eukaryota; Fungi; Ascomycota. The record is from RNAcentral.
CCGAGUUUACAACUCCCAAACCCUUAUGUGAACCUUACCCAUCGUUGCUUCGGCGGGAGAGCCCCGGCGCCCUCGGGCCCGGAACCAGGCGCCCGCCGGAGACCCCAAACUCCAUGUUUUAACGAGUAUCGUCUGAGUGGUAUAAACAAAUACAUCA